This 882-nucleotide ribosomal RNA is filed under the name uncultured Sporidiobolales. Its description in RNAcentral is "SSU rRNA". It matches the Rfam family "Eukaryotic small subunit ribosomal RNA", at positions 564 to 1473 of the family's 1831-position model. The record is from RNAcentral. Lineage: Eukaryota; Fungi; Basidiomycota; Microbotryomycetes; Sporidiobolales.
GUGCCAAGCAGCCGCGGUAAUCCCAGCUCCAAUAGCGUAUAUUAAAGUUGUUGCCGUUAAAAAGCUCGUAGUCGAACUUCGGCGCCUGAUGGCCGGUCCGCCUUCUUGGUGUGUACUUGCUCAUCGGGCGCUUACCUCCUGGUGAACUCUGAUGUCCUUUACUGGGUGUCAGAGCAAACCAGGACGUUUACUUUGAAAAAAUUAGAGUGUUCAAAGCAGGCCUACGCCCGAAUACAUUAGCAUGGAAUAAUAGAAUAGGACGCGCGUUCCCAUUUUGUUGGUUUCUGAGAUCGCCGUAAUGAUUAAUAGGGAUAGUUGGGGGCAUUUGUAUUCCGUCGUCAGAGGUGAAAUUCUUGGAUUGCCGGAGGACAAACUACUGCGAAAGCAUUUGCCAAGGAUGUUUUCAUUGAUCAAGAACGAAGGAAGGGGGAUCGAAAACGAUCAGAUACCGCUGUAGUCUCUUCUGUAAACUAUGCCAAUUGGGGAUUAGCACAGGAUUUUCAAUGACUGUGUUAGCACCCGAAGAGAAAUCUUUAAAUGAGGUUCGGGGGGGAGUAUGGUCGCAAGGCUGAAACUUAAAGGAAUUGACGGAAGGGCACCACCAGGUGUGGAGCCUGCGGCUUAAUUUGACUCAACACGGGGAAACUCACCAGGUCCAGACACAAUAAGGAUUGACAGAUUGAUAGCUCUUUCUUGAUCUUGUGGUUGGUGGUGCAUGGCCGUUCUUAGUUGGUGGAGUGAUUUGUCUGGUUAAUUCCGAUAACGAACGAGACCUUAACCUGCUAAAUAGACCAGUCGACUUUGGUUGACUGCUGUCUUCUUAGAGGACUAUCAGCGUUUAGCUGAUGGAAGUUUGAGGCAAUAACAGGUCUGUGAUGCCCC